UGCCAGCAGCCGCGGUAAUACGAAGGGGGCUAGCGUUGCUCGGAAUCACUGGGCGUAAAGGGUGCGUAGGCGGGUUUCUAAGUCAGAGGUGAAAGCCUGGAGCUCAACUCCAGAACUGCCUUUGAUACUGGAAGUCUUGAGUUCGGGAGAGGUGAGUGGAACUGCGAGUGUAGAGGUGAAAUUCGUAGAUAUUAGCAGGAACACCGGUGGCGAAGGCGGCUAUCUGGACGACAACUGACGCUGAGGCGCGAAAGCGUGGGGAUCAAACAGGAUUAGAUACCCUGGUAGUCCACGCUGUAAACGAUGGGUGCUAGCCGUUGGGAGGAUUCCUCUCAGUGGCGCAGCUAACGCGUUAAGCACCCCGCCUGGGGAGUACGGUCGCAAGAUUAAAACUCAAAGAAAUUGACGGGGACCCGCACAAGCGGUGGAACAUGUGGUUUAAUUCGAGGCAACGCGAAGAACCUUACCAAGACUUGACAUGCCCUCUAUGGAAAGCAGAAACGUUUUCCUUCACCUCGGGCGGGAGGAGCACAGGUGCUGCAUGGCUGUCGUCAGCUCGUGUCGUGAGAUGUUGGGUUAAGUCCCGCAACGAGCGCAACCCUCAUCCUCUGUUGCUAACAGGUAAUGCUGAGAACUCUGAGGAAACUGCCGGUGAUAAGCCGGAGGAAGGUGGGGAUGACGUCAAGUCCUCAUGGCCCUUACGUCUUGGGCUACACACGUGUUACAAUGGCGGUGACAAUGGGCAGCGAACCCGCAAGGGUAAGCGAAUCUCAAAAAGCCGCCUCAGUUUGGAUUGUACUCUGCAACUCGAGUACAUGAAAUUGGAAUCGCUAGUAAUCGCGGAUCAGCACGCCGCGGUGAUACGUUCCCGGGUCUUGCACACACCGCCCGU
Molecule: ribosomal RNA, 892 nt
Filed under: uncultured Alphaproteobacteria bacterium
Lineage: Bacteria; Pseudomonadati; Pseudomonadota; Alphaproteobacteria
Description: bacterial SSU rRNA
Rfam family: Bacterial small subunit ribosomal RNA
Source: RNAcentral